RNAcentral lists this ribosomal RNA (292 nucleotides) under uncultured bacterium. RNAcentral describes it as "partial 16S ribosomal RNA". The record is from RNAcentral.
GGACUACCAGGGUAUCUAAUCCUGUUUGCUCCCCUAGCUUUCGCAGCUCAGCGUCAGUGAUGGCCCAGAAGCCUGCUUUCGCCAUAGGUAUUCCUCCCGAUAUCUACGCAUUUCACCGCUACACCGGGAAUUCCAGCUUCCUCUACCACACUCUAGCCCGACAGUUUCCCUUGACCUCUCCCAGUUGAGCCGGGAGCUUUCACAAAAGACUUAUCGAGCCGCCUACCUGCGCUUUACGCCUAGUGAUUCCGAGUAUCGCUUGCCACCUACGUAUUACCGCGGCUGCUGGCAC